CCCUUAGAUGUUCUGGGCCGCACGCGCGCUACACUGAUGCAUUCAACAAGCCUAGCCUUGACCGAGAGGUCCGGGUAAUCUUUGAAACUGCAUCGUGAUGGGGCUAGAUUAUUGCAAUUAUUAAUCUUCAACGAGGAAUGCCUAGUAAGCGUGAUUCAUCAAAUCGCGUUGAUUACGUCCCUGCCCUUUGUACACACCGCCCGUCGCUCCUACCGAUUGAAUGUGUUGGUGAGGAGCUCGGAUUGGCAGCAGUUGGUGGCUCGCCACCGGCUAUUGCUGAGAAGUCCUCCAAACCGCCCCAUUUAGAGGAAGGAGAANUCGUANCA
Molecule: ribosomal RNA, 326 nt
Filed under: uncultured eukaryote
Lineage: Eukaryota
Description: partial 18S ribosomal RNA
Rfam family: Eukaryotic small subunit ribosomal RNA
Source: RNAcentral